AUGUGCAGGGCGCUCCGCACGUACGAGCCAGAGAGAGGGAAAAAAAACACACGAAAACGUGCCACGGUGACACUCCUCGCCACCGGCUCGCUCGCACGAGUAGAGUGACCCUUUCUUUUCCCCCUUCUCGCUCUCGCGAUUCCACUCUUCUUUGAUCGACCUCUCUGCCUGCAGCGAUGAGGCGCAGCACAGUGGCACGCUACUACUGGUCGCGGUAUCGCAUACCGUCGCAGAUGCCAAAGUUCGACGGACCGGCGCCCGUGGCAGCCCCACAAAACAUGAAUAGCACCAAGACCAACGAGUUCAUCGACCCCAUCGACGACAAAUUUCCUGUUUCCAUCCGCGGCAAUUUAGUGCGGCCCGACGUCCCGGAGGAUCAGUACGUCGAUAGCUGGUACGUAUGCACGUCCAUGACGCACCACCUCGGCGACUUUCGGCCAUGGAGUGCCAGCGCACCGGCCAACGCAUACCGUUUUCGCCCUUACAACGAGUUCGAUUCCAAAGGGCGCGACUAUGUUGAGCAGCUGCGCAAAUUUAGCCGCUACGCACCACAAUCGUCGCGGGGAAAGGGCGCCAAGGGGUUUCCCUUCCGUGAGGCAUUCUUGACAAAGAUGAACACCGCCGAGACGGCCGUGGUAAACCCAACACGCGAAACGAUCAUGACUCGCGCCGUUGCCGAGCGUCUGCAUCACGCCAAGGUGCUGAGUCCGCUCGAGGUGCAGCGGGAUGUCGGUCGUCUAGAGGAGCCCUUGCCAUGCGCGGGCAAGAUUCCAGCUGAGCGCUCUACUUUCCCCUUUCGAUGGAACACGGAGGACUGGUACGAGUACGAGGUGGCCAAGGCGCGCAACAAGCGCUUCGUUUUCGAGAACACGAACGAUACCGGCAUCAGUGCGUCGGAAGUGACGUAUCGCAUCGUGCUGGAGGGGUUCUGGGACCAUCACGUGAUGAAACUUGCCGACGACGUCGUGAUGUUUCUCAAGGAUGUGGGACGCCAGGUGGUGGAAGAAAAACUCAAGAGCGUGCGCGCGAGCCUUGAAAGCUUGUCGACCGGUGGCGCCGUUGACCCGGAGCUGGUGGCGGCUUUUAAUGCUUCGUUGAAGGGGCCCUUUGGCGGCCCUGACCGCUACGAUGCAGAGGAGGUGGCGCACUUUUUGCGCACCGAGUUGGUCCGGCUGGAGGAGCAGUGUGUGAGCCUCAUCAACCGCGCCAAUGUUCCCAUUCCGGGUACGUCGAACAUCUACGAUGCCAAUGUGUCGUGGCCGCACGUGGAGAAGAUGGAGCCGUGGACCCGGAUGGCCGAGUUCUGGACGUCUUCCUCGGACACUUCCUUCACCGAGCUGGAGAUGUCCACGGCGCACUAUGAAUUUCGCAAGUACUUCCGUGUCGUGGUGGUGAAAAUGCCGUUUCAGAGCACCGAGUUAGAGCAGCGGAUCUACGGCAUCCGUCACUGGUUGCACCGCCAGACAAGCUGCGAGUUUCACACAACGUACAAACGCAACGUCGUGCACGACAGCGCCGUCUUUCCAACCGAGCACGACCCGGAGACGAAGCCGUCGCACGAGCACCACCGACUCUUCUCCUUUGCACUCGACUGGCAGAGCGCGCCAGUGGAUUAUCUGAGCGUCGAACUGGCCCGAGAGGGCGAUAGCUGGGCAUCGCUCGCCAAGCGACUCGGGUGCUCCGAGUCGGAGCUGAGGGCUGCCAAUGACACGAUGGAGGAGGUGGCUGCGGGCGUUGCAGUGAGCGUCCCUGGAAGUGCGACGCGGCGCUUGACCAGCUUCAGCACCACGCCGUCGGUCCUGCCACUGCAGCAAGGCGACGGCAAGCCGGCCAUCACGUCUUGGCGGAGGGCGGCGGAGGUGCUCGGCUGCUCCGUCGAGGAGCUUCAGCAGGCAAACGGCGCGGCCGCUCUCACCUACAUUUCCGCGGCAGAGUCCGGCGACGGCGCUUUCGAUCCGGCAGUGAAGGAGUUGGUUGUGCCACACACGGCCACGGCCGCCUUGACAGAGUCCUCGUUUGCGGCAUUCGAACCUACGUUUGACGGCGACACCUGGACGUCCAUCGCCGAUCGCCUGGGCUGCAGUGAGGGGGACCUGCGUGCCUGCAACAGCGUUGAUGGCUCAGUUGCGGAUGUGUCGUCGCUCGCGGCUGUGAGCGUGCCGGCGAGCGCGACGCGUCCGCGGCGUAUCAUACAUCCUCAGCUUCGGCCUCAGGCCGCAACGGACGCCUUGCUGGCGCGAACGCUGGGUGAGCAGGCGGUCAGCGCCAUCGGCGACAUCCCCAGCCUUCCGGCAAAUGCGCACAAGUUCCCGCAUGAGUAUUACACCCCAACCUCGCGCUUCCCCGCGACGCCGCAGCAGUCGCCUGCAAGCGACAACUGGAUCGCCUACACCGCCAAAUACCUGGACAAGCAGCUAGCGCUCCAAGACGAGCCGGCUCCGGUGUACAAUGUCAACAAGUUGUGGCCGAUGCAGCAGGUGCCCGGUAAGGUUGAUCAGACCCCCUUCGAGGAGGAUCAGACAUGGCUCAUGCACCCGAUCCCCGUGCAGCAGAUGCAGCAGCAUCACCCGGAGAAGGACCUGCAGGACCUUCCCUUUGUGAAUCACGAGCAGUUCCCCCGAUCGCUGGAGUGGACAGCACCGUAAGGAAGUGGCUGGGGGUGGGUGCGCGAGCAUGCAGUUGCCCGUAGGCUCUUCGCCGUUGUUUUUGUUCUCUCCGUGUGCGAAUGCGUGAGUGGGGCUCGUGUAACGAUGGUUGUGUUG
Molecule: unclassified non-coding RNA, 2762 nt
Filed under: Leishmania donovani
Lineage: Eukaryota; Euglenozoa; Kinetoplastea; Trypanosomatida; Trypanosomatidae
Description: gene:LdHU3.33.0020(CDS-product:LysM_domain_contai ning_protein_putative)
Source: RNAcentral